RNAcentral lists this ribosomal RNA (492 nucleotides) under uncultured bacterium. RNAcentral describes it as "partial 16S ribosomal RNA". It matches the Rfam family "Bacterial small subunit ribosomal RNA", at positions 29 to 507 of the family's 1533-position model. The record is from RNAcentral.
AGUGAACGCUGGCGGUAGGCCUAACACAUGCAAGUCGAACGGCAGCACAGUAAGAGCUUGCUCUUACGGGUGGCGAGUGGCGGACGGGUGAGGAAUACAUCGGAAUCUACUUUUUCGUGGGGGAUAACGUAGGGAAACUUACGCUAAUACCGCAUACGACCUACGGGUGAAAGCAGGGGAUCUUCGGACCUUGCGCGAUUGAAUGAGCCGAUGUCGGAUUAGCUAGUUGGCGGGGUAAAGGCCCACCAAGGCGACGAUCCGUAGCUGGUCUGAGAGGAUGAUCAGCCACACUGGAACUGAGACACGGUCCAGACUCCUACGGGAGGCAGCAGUGGGGAAUAUUGGACAAUGGGCGAAAGCCUGAUCCAGCCAAACCGCGUGGGUGAAGAAGGCCUUCGGGUUGUAAAGCCCUUUUGUUGGGAAAGAAAAGCAGCAGGUUAAUACCCCGCUGUUCUGACGGUACCCAAAGAAUAAGCACCGGCUAACUUCGUG